This is a long non-coding RNA of Aphidius gifuensis, 203 nucleotides long. RefSeq lists it as uncharacterized. NCBI's taxonomy places the organism in Eukaryota, Metazoa, Arthropoda, Insecta, Hymenoptera, Braconidae. The record is from RefSeq and is a predicted model, not a curated record. The transcript has 3 exons.
AUGUUUCCAAGACUAAGCGGUUUUCAAAUGUAUGAUGAUGAUGAUUUAGAUGCAAGACCACGAUUUAGAGUUUACAAUAUUCCUGCUAACGAGGCAAAUGAUAAUAGUACAGUAUUGGAAGAUGAGUCUGACUUGGCUAUGGAUGAGUUGGACCAUCUCAUAAUAUUCCCAUCACUUGGAGCAAAAUAUUCAUUGAUACCAGA